Molecule: long non-coding RNA, 2985 nt
Filed under: Sus scrofa (pig)
Lineage: Eukaryota; Metazoa; Chordata; Mammalia; Artiodactyla; Suidae
Description: lncRNA (ENSSSCG00050003348.1)
Source: RNAcentral
AGGUUCCAGUAUUACCACAAGCAGCGUAGGCUGCAGAUGCUGCUCAGAUCUGUGGCUGUGGCGUAGGCUGACAGCUGCUGCUCCAAAGUGGCUGCAAAUAAAAAAAAAAAAAAAAAAAAAAAAGAAAAGACAAAGGAAGAAAAAAAGAGAGAGGCUGAAGUGCAUCAUAUUUAAAUCUUUAAAUAAAAACAGUAGUGUGGCUGCAGAGUGUGCAUAGUCUGGAGGAAAGGACACAGGUGGUGUGAUAAAGCGGACGUGGGUCCCAUUUCGGCUCAAAGACACCCUCGUCUCUUGUGAGGUUCUGCUCUCUCCCUCUCUCGGCACGUGUAGGCUGGGCUUUCUCUGCCCACUGUCCCUUAGGCGGCUGUGCGGCUGUGCCAAACGGACUGUGAGUCCGGCAGACAUCCGUCAUUUCCAGGUGGCGGCACAAAGAGUCGGGGCGCCGCAGACCACGCCCCUUCUCUGUUGUGAAGCCCCCAAAUGCUCCCCUGGGGGACUGCCCUCUCAGUCGAGGGUCAUCCCUGAUGACACUGACUCAGCGCAGAGCGCCCAGCCCACCAGUGGUGGCCACGUAGGAUGAGGGAAAAUGAAUAGGUGGUGUCACAAGUCACUGAGAUGGGGAGAGUUCCCGCUGUGGCUCGGUGGGUUAAGGAUCCAACAUUGUGUCUGUGAGGACGCAGAUCCACCCCUGGCCUUGCUCCGUGAAUUAAGGAUCCAGUGUUGCUACAAGCUGCGGCGUGGGUUGCAGAUAUGGCUUGGAUCCAGUGUUGCCAUGGCUGUGGCGUAGGCCAGCAGCUGCAGCUCCAAUUCGACCCCUGGGUUGGGAACUUCCAUAUGCCGAGGGUACAGCUGUAAAAAGAAAAAAAAAGAAAAAAGUCCCUGAGAUCGGGGAUUGUUUUUCUGCAGCUUGAGCAAGCUUAUCCUGACUGCUACACAGGGGCAGUGGACUCUGGCAAGCCCAUUACCUCCCAUGGUACUUGAAGUCCAUAGUUGAAAGAUAGGAAUAACAUAACCAGUCUUCUUGUAUACAAUUUCAAAAUUUUGCUGAAGUUUAAGACUCACAAGAAGUUGCAAAAAUAGCACAGUGUAGGCUGAGACUUCAGUGAAGAGCGUUAAACAUAUUUUGUGGAAAAUCCUGGUUUGGCUCACCUGAGGCAUAACUCUUCCUGGUAGUCAGUGGAUGCUCUUAAAGUCAAAACAGUUGAAGCUGGUUCUCAAAAAGUUCCCAUGGUUUACUGGGGAGACCAGCGCCUCGCUCCUAGAGCAAACAGCCAGUCUGCUGCUUGGCCGUCGCCAUCCACAUCCGGCCGUGAAGGGCAGCCUCUUCCUAACGAUGUGUCUGCUCUUUAUUAGCUGCAAGUUGACAUUGCAGGUUUCUUCUUUCCUUAGGGAACCAGUCCAAAGGGUUAUGCAAGUUUUCUCUCUUACACACAUUCAAAAAACAUGUUAAAACAAUACAGAAUGUCUCCUGAAACCACAUGAGAGCUGAAAAAGCAGACAGGAGCUCUUCUUUCCACUUAGAACAUGUCCUCCCUGGGCCAAGGUCUUUGGCUAUCGACAUCCUUCUAGAAAGUUCUUUCCUGUUUCAGGGGCGGCCGGAUGGCAAGACAUCCUACGCCACAUUUCAGCCAGAUGGGAUUUGGGAAUGCUCCCCCUUUUAAGGGGAGCCGUUGAGAUGAGGACAGUUCCACAGGGUCCCAGUGAGCUCAAGGACCGAUGCAGUGACUCAUAGUGUCAUUGGUACCAUGUCCAAGAAGGCUGUCCUUGUCAGCACACAUUUGUUAAGCAUCCCUCCAUCUCUGCGUCCUCUGACUUUACAGUGAAAGAUGGGGACGGUUUUCUUUCCAAGUUUCCCUCUAAGGCAGAAACUCCGUGUUUGUGGAUCUUCUGACAUUUGGAAAAUCCUCCCUGUUUCCUCUCACCAAACCAGGUCUCUGUGGACAAAGCCUGGUGGGGAAUUCCUCGCUAAAGGGGCCCAGAAGGAAGCCUCUGCCUCCCUCAGGAGUUCGAUUAUUUUAUCAGUCUUAUCACAGCAGCAUUUAAAUCAUUUAUGGAUUAAAGAUUUUUGUUAUUCAAAGAUAAGGCUAGCCCUUCAAACAAGGAAGAGUGGGAUGGGAGACUAAUAUCAUUUUUUUACUAGAAGAUGUUUGUUCAAAGGGACAACUGAAGUCUCUUAGCAAAUAUGGGUUUACUUUUUCGCUCAUUUCAGUGCCUGCGAUGGAUGGAUUUACUUUUUCCCAGGUUUGUGCUGUACCUUGGCUCCCAUGGUACAGAGACCAUAGCCCGUUUUUUGGACUAAUUCCCAUGUAUUGUAUAAUUUUUUUCUGGCUAUGCUUUUUUUUAAUGCCAUGUCUCGAUUCAGAGCGUGGUCUCUGAUGCUGCCAAUGGUUGCCUGCUCUGCUCUUGGAUUCAUUCCAAGUUUCUGAGAGCAGGGAUUUCUGAGCCACCCAGCCUGAGGACUCCUGCCCAGGAGAAUGAGGACCAAGCCCACGGGGAAGGGAGACAAAUCGUCUGUGUGAACCCAGUCUUGUAACUGACGGGCCGCAGUCAAUUCUGAUGACCUUGGGCCCGAGAGGAGGUGAGCCCACGGGCUGUUGGUUGCCAUGGAGAAUCUUGGACUUGUACACGCAGAUGCACUCCACCUCCUGUCUCCUGGCGGGUUGGCGGCCCCAUGCACGGAAUGGCGUUUUCUUCCUGUCUUGUGUCACUUCGGGUUGAUAGAGAAAAACAGCAUGGACCGAGGGCUUAGCAACACACCUUUACUUCUUGCAGUUCUGGAGGCUGGACGUCUAAGAUCAAGGGGUCGGAAGAGCUGAUGUCUGGUAAAGAUCUGCCUCCUGGUUUGCAGACGACCACCUUCUUGCUGUGUCCUCACAUGAUGGAGAGAGAGCUCUGGUCGCGUCAUCUCCUUCCAAGGGCACCACUCCCAUCAUGAAGGUCCACCCUCAUGACCUCAUCUAAACCUGAUUCUCUCCCCAAAGCCCA